RNAcentral lists this transfer RNA (72 nucleotides) under Dipodomys ordii (Ord's kangaroo rat). It matches the Rfam family "tRNA". From Rfam's summary of the family: Transfer RNA (tRNA) molecules are approximately 80 nucleotides in length. Lineage: Eukaryota; Metazoa; Chordata; Mammalia; Rodentia; Heteromyidae. The record is from Rfam by way of RNAcentral.
GGGAAGGUGGCUCAGUGGUAGGGUGCUUGCCUUGCAUGCAUGAGGCCCUAGGUUCGAUUCCUCAGCACCUCA